GACGAACGCUGGCGGCGUGCUUAACACAUGCAAGUCGAACGGAAAGGCCCUGCUUUUGUGGGGUGCUCGAGUGGCGAACGGGUGAGUAACACGUGAGUAACCUGCCCUUGACUUUGGGUUAACUUCAGGAAACUGGGGCUAAUCCCGGAUAGGAGCUCCUGCUGCAUGGUGGGGGUUGGAAAGUUUCGGCGGUUGGGGAUGGACUCGCGGCUUAUCAGCUUGUUGGUGGGGUAGUGGCUUACCAAGGCUUUGACGGGUAGCCGGCCUGAGAGGGCGACCGGCCACAUUGGGACUGAGAUACGGCCCAGACUCCUACGGGAGGGAGCAGUGGGGAAUAUUGCAAAAUGGGCGGAAGCCUGGUGCAGCAAAGCCGCGUGCGGGAUGACGGCCUUCGGGUUGUAACCCGCUUUCGCCUGUGACGAAGCGUGAGUGACGGUAAUGGGUAAAGAAGCACCGGCUAACUACGUG
This 468-nucleotide ribosomal RNA is filed under the name uncultured bacterium. RNAcentral's name for it is "partial 16S ribosomal RNA". It matches the Rfam family "Bacterial small subunit ribosomal RNA", at positions 28 to 507 of the family's 1533-position model. The record is from RNAcentral.